This 419-nucleotide ribosomal RNA is filed under the name bacterium. RNAcentral's name for it is "partial 16S ribosomal RNA". It matches the Rfam family "Bacterial small subunit ribosomal RNA", at positions 355 to 776 of the family's 1533-position model. The record is from RNAcentral.
UGGGGGAUAUUGCACAAUGGGCGAAAGCCUGAUGCAGCGACGCCGCGUGGGGGAUGAAGGCUUUCGGGUUGUAAACCUCUUUCGCUAUCGAACAAGGCCCGCUUAGGGUGGGUUGAGGGUAGGUGGAGAAGAAGCGCCGGCUAACUACGUGCCAGCAGCCGCGGUAAUACGUAGGGCGCGAGCGUUGUCCGGAAUUAUUGGGCGUAAAGGCUUGUAGGCGGCUUGUUGCGCCUGCUGUGAAAACGCGGGGCUUAACUUCGCGCGUGCAGUGGGUACGGGCAGGCUUGAGUGUGGUAGGGGUGACUGGAAUUCCAGGUGUAGCGGUGGAAUGCGCAGAUAUCUGGAGGAACACCGAUGGCGAAGGCAGGUCACUGGGCCAUUACUGACGCUGAGGAGCGAAAGCAUGGGUAGCGAACAGG